UACGGAGGAUGCAAGCGUUAUCCGGAAUGAUUGGGCGUAAAGCGUCCGCAGGUGGCGAUGAAAGUCUGCUGUUAAAGAGCAAGGCUCAACCUUGUAAAGGCAGUGGAAACUACAUGGCUAGAGUGCGUUCGGGGCAGAGGGAAUUCCUGGUGUAGCGGUGAAAUGCGUAGAGAUCAGGAAGAACACCGGUGGCGAAAGCGCUCUGCUAGGCCGCAACUGACACUGAGGGACGAAAGCUAGGGGAGCGAAUGGG
Molecule: ribosomal RNA, 253 nt
Filed under: uncultured bacterium
Lineage: Bacteria
Description: partial 16S ribosomal RNA
Rfam family: Bacterial small subunit ribosomal RNA
Source: RNAcentral